CAAUUGAAUAACGCUUAUUGACCGCCUCUCCCCCGGAUGGGAAGGCUAAUAAAAGGUGAAACCGGUUCAAGUCCGGUGCUGUCGCGCAACUGUAAGGAGACGCCCUCUCCAAGCCAGGUCAUCCUUCAAUAAGCUGUUCGCCACA
RNAcentral lists this non-coding RNA (145 nucleotides) under Ornatilinea apprima. The record is from RNAcentral. Lineage: Bacteria; Bacillati; Chloroflexota; Anaerolineae; Anaerolineales; Anaerolineaceae.